This 58-nucleotide non-coding RNA is filed under the name Helianthus annuus (common sunflower). Lineage: Eukaryota; Viridiplantae; Streptophyta; Magnoliopsida; Asterales; Asteraceae. The record is from RNAcentral.
CACGGGUUGAGAGUUGUCGUCACUUUCCUGAUGAGUCAAAGGCAACACGAAACCAGUG